Cyprinus carpio carpio is the source of this 2177-nucleotide long non-coding RNA. NCBI's taxonomy places the organism in Eukaryota, Metazoa, Chordata, Actinopteri, Cypriniformes, Cyprinidae. The record is from Ensembl.
AGGUGAUGGUUUAAUAUCCCGCAGGUAAUGGCAUAUAUGUAAAAGUAGAUUUCAGAUGAUCCAAACCAAUGCUGAGGAUAUUAAUUUAGGAACUUAAAUGCACAGUUAUGGCCAUUUUGGAGCCACUGGGAUGUAGAAAUGUUUGCCAUUUAUCUCUGUAGGCUAGAAAUCUAACAUUUUCUGUUACAGUCAGGUAUGGAAAAUUUGGGAAAUAUAAUGAAUAUGACCUAUUGUUGUGGAUAUGGCAGAUGAGACGUGCUGAGGAACCUUUCUGUUGUGUUGCUGUUUUGAGUCAAGCUCAAUAUCAUGAGGCCUGAAUUUUAAGGCCGCUAUAAUGAACACUUGGCUUAUCAAAAAAGAGGCAAUGCGAAUUAGGUUUCAUUUUUUUAUUAAGGUUAUAAAUUUUAAACAAAUACUUUCUAAAACAGUUUUACCCGGUGAUAUACAAUUUAAUAUGCACAAAAAUACAAGAAUACCAACAAAAGUUUAAGGCACAUCAGAAUUCUUCACAGAUAUCUAGUGACUGCAGACUAUUAGUACUAAUGCAGGCUAAUUUUGUCUAAUGGGCCUCUAAACAUAGAACUGAAUAAAAAUGCUUCACCUCUCUUUUAGUGUCAUACCAUUCUAUUAGGUUACCGUAACAGUAUCUUCAGAGGUGACCAUUUUUACACUAACCUUCUCUAUCUAUCUAUCUAUCUAUCUAUCUAUCUAUCUAUCUAUCUAUCUAUCUAUCUAUCUAUCUAUCUAUCUAUCUAUCAUCUUGAGAAUGAUAUGCUGACAUUACUUACAUGUUGGGGUCAGUUUCAAUAUUUGGAUCUGCAAACCCUAAAUGAGGGUUGCUACUAAUCAUGAGGAAUAAGUAGCUUUUUAAACAGUCUCUAAGGGCACUAUAGGCUUCUUGCUUUUAACUUUUACAGAUUUUUCAACUACAAAUUGCUAGGCAUUCUCACAUUUUUUUCAAAGAAUACUCACAUUUUGUUCCAAACGGGUGUGGCAAGAGUGUCACAUUCAGUGACUGAAGGUGGUGUAAAUGGCCCUAUAAAACACUUGUUGGAUAAUGAAUGGAGAUUUCAAGAUCAAUCAAUUCAGGUUUCAUCAUAAUUUAAAAUUUAAAUGUUUUUUUUUUUAUCCUAUUGAAUAAAUAUAAAAUAAACUCAUGUUAUUUGCUCAUAGAUCAUAUUGAAUGAAAGCAAAGAAAAGUAUGGGCAGUAUUUUUUUUAUCAGUUCUUUUUCAGACAAAAAGUUAUGCUUUAUUUCUGCUUCACUGGAAUAAAGUCUUAUCCAUUUAUGAAAUAUCCAUCAAAAGAACUAAAUAAUUUUAUUUAUUGACAGACUAACUUAAAACUAGCUUAACUUAAAAUGUGUCAUUUUUAACUUUAAAAUUUCAAUCCAUCAACACCAGUAAAUGUCAAGUGAGCUAAAAAAAAUAAAUAAUAUAAAAUAAUAUUUUAAAAGUAAGUCGAAUUCUGGUGCUGGGUGCUGGACAAACUCUCAGAGAGGACUGAUUCAGAUCUUAGUUUAGUUAAUUUAUAAAUAAAUGAAUAAUAUGAAAAUAAUAUAAAAUGAAGCAACUAUCUACUUCUAUAAUAACAUAUAUGAAGACUGUGAGAACAAUCGUUGGAUUUGUAUUACAGCUUAAAAAAAUGACAUUUGGAAACACUUGCUAAUUUCUCACCUGAAUCUGACCUCAACAUCUUCAUCUUGGUCGCACAUGGACAUUUACUCGAAAGACUUCAGAUCAAGUUUCAAGAUUCAGAUCAAGAAGCCUUCUUGCAUCUUCCUGUAGAACACCAGAAGUUAUAGGUGAGUUUGAGCAGAAUGUAAUAUAGAAUCUUGUAACUGUUUUUACAGUCACAUAAAACAUUUAUUUAGAAUGUAUGUUCUGUUCUAUGUCCUAUAGUCUCAUAUGUUAGUAAACAGAAAAAGCAUAAACACUACCCCAACGACAGAAGGGAAAAUAUUUAUUUGAUCCCAUGCUGAUUUUGUAAGUUUGCUCACUUACAAAAAAAUGAAGGAGCUGUAGGUUUAUUUUAAUGUAUAGAGACAGAAUACCAAAUCAAAAAUCCAGAAAAAAACACAUUAUAUAAAGGUUAGAAAUUGAUUUGCAUUUCAGUGAGUGAAAUAAGUAUUUGAUCCACAAGCAAAACAUGACUUAGUACUUGGUGCAGAAACCCUUG